GUGCUCACUUUGGCAGCACCUAAACUAAAAUUGGAACAAUACAGAAAAGAUUAGCAUGGCCCAUGUGAAAGGAUGAUAUGCAAAUUUGUGAAACAUUCCAUAUUUUU
Neotoma lepida (desert woodrat) is the source of this 107-nucleotide small nuclear RNA. Lineage: Eukaryota; Metazoa; Chordata; Mammalia; Rodentia; Cricetidae. The record is from Rfam.